AUCACAACCUAAGAUAACGAAAAAGCAG
This 28-nucleotide non-coding RNA is filed under the name Trypanosoma brucei brucei. The record is from RNAcentral. Lineage: Eukaryota; Euglenozoa; Kinetoplastea; Trypanosomatida; Trypanosomatidae.